CAUGGAAACACCUGUUCUCAUAUGAUCACUGAAGUUAAGCAAUGUUGAGCCUGAUCAAUAACUAGAUUGGUGACUGGGAAUACCAGAUGCUGUAAG
Molecule: non-coding RNA, 96 nt
Organism: Acanthosepion pharaonis
Lineage: Eukaryota; Metazoa; Mollusca; Cephalopoda; Sepiida; Sepiidae
Source: the annotation of a GenBank genome assembly